RNAcentral lists this ribosomal RNA (250 nucleotides) under uncultured bacterium. RNAcentral's name for it is "partial 16S ribosomal RNA". It matches the Rfam family "Bacterial small subunit ribosomal RNA", at positions 524 to 773 of the family's 1533-position model. The record is from RNAcentral.
UACGUAGGUGGCAAGCGUUAAUCGGAAUUACUGGGCGUAAAGCGCACGCAGGCGGUCUGUUAAGUCAGAUGUGAAAUCCCCGGGCUCAACCCGGGAACUGCAUUUGAAACUGGCAGGCUUGAGUCUCGUAGAGGGGGGUAGAAUUCCAUGUGUAGCGGUGAAAUGCGUAGAUAUAUGGAAGAACACCAGUGGCGAAAGCGGCUCUCUGGUCUGUAACUGACGCUGAGGUUUGAAAGCGUGGGUAGCAAAC